RNAcentral lists this transfer RNA (70 nucleotides) under Camelus bactrianus (Bactrian camel). It matches the Rfam family "tRNA". Rfam says of the family: Transfer RNA (tRNA) molecules are approximately 80 nucleotides in length. Their secondary structure includes four short double-helical elements and three loops (D, anti-codon, and T loops). Further hydrogen bonds mediate the characteristic L-shaped molecular structure. tRNAs have two regions of fundamental functional importance: the anti-codon, which is responsible for specific mRNA codon recognition, and the 3' end, to which the tRNAs corresponding amino acid is attached (by aminoacyl-tRNA synthetases). tRNAs cope with the degeneracy of the genetic code in two manners: having more than one tRNA (with a specific anti-codon) for a particular amino acid; and 'wobble' base-pairing, i.e. permitting non-standard base-pairing at the 3rd anti-codon position. The record is from Rfam by way of RNAcentral. RNAcentral also lists the same sequence under 3 other names. Lineage: Eukaryota; Metazoa; Chordata; Mammalia; Artiodactyla; Camelidae.
GGGUGUAGCUCAGUGGAAGAGCACCUGCAUAGCAUGCACAAGGUCCUGGGUUCAAUUCCCAGUACUUCCA